Molecule: ribosomal RNA, 464 nt
Filed under: Vreelandella stevensii
Lineage: Bacteria; Pseudomonadati; Pseudomonadota; Gammaproteobacteria; Oceanospirillales; Halomonadaceae
Description: partial 16S ribosomal RNA
Rfam family: Bacterial small subunit ribosomal RNA
Source: RNAcentral
CCUACGGGUGGCAGCAGUGGGGAAUAUUGGACAAUGGGGGGAACCCUGAUCCAGCCAUGCCGCGUGUGUGAAGAAGGCCCUCGGGUUGUAAAGCACUUUCAGUGAGGAAGAACGCCUGGUGGUUAAUACCCAUCAGGAAAGACAUCACUCACAGAAGAAGCACCGGCUAACUCCGUGCCAGCAGCCGCGGUAAUACGGAGGGUGCGAGCGUUAAUCGGAAUUACUGGGCGUAAAGCGCGCGUAGGUGGCUUGAUAAGCCGGUGUGAAAGCCCCGGGCUCAACCUGGGAACGGCAUCCGGAACUGUCAAGCUAGAGUGCAGGAGAGGAAGGUAGAAUUCCCGGUGUAGCGGUGAAAUGCGUAGAGAUCGGGAGGAAUACCAGUGGCGAAGGCGGCCUUCUGGACUGACACUGACACUGAGGUGCGAAAGCGUGGGUAGCAAACAGGAUUAGAUACCCCAGUAGUC